GAUGAACGCUGGCGGCGUGCCUAAUACAUGCAAGUCGAGCGAACAGACGAGGAGCUUGCUCCUCUGACGUUAGCGGCGGACGGGUGAGUAACACGUGGAUAACCUACCUAUAAGACUGGGAUAACUUCGGGAAACCGGCGCUAAUACCGGAUAAUAUAUUGCACCGCAUGGUUCAAUAGUGAAAGACGGUUUUGCUUUCACUUAUAGAUUGAUCCGCGCCGCAUUAGCUAGUUGUUAAGGUAACGGCUUACCAAGGCAACGAUGCGUAGCCGACCUGAGAGGGUGAUCGGCCACACUGGAACUGAGACAAGGUCCAGACUCCUACGGGAGGCAGCAGUAGGGAAUCUUACGCAAUGGGCGAAAGCUUGACGGAGCAAAGCCGCGUGAGGGAUGAAGGUCUUCGGAUCGUAAAACUCUGUUAUUAGGGAAGAACAAAUGUGUAAGUAACUAGGCACGUCUUGACGGUACCUAAUCAGAAAGCCACGGCUAACUACGUG
RNAcentral lists this ribosomal RNA (497 nucleotides) under uncultured bacterium. Its description in RNAcentral is "partial 16S ribosomal RNA". It matches the Rfam family "Bacterial small subunit ribosomal RNA", at positions 28 to 507 of the family's 1533-position model. The record is from RNAcentral.